RNA transcript from Lutra lutra (Eurasian river otter), 2867 nucleotides. It is a transcript of the gene named Wnt family member 3A, with no coding region annotated. NCBI's taxonomy places the organism in Eukaryota, Metazoa, Chordata, Mammalia, Carnivora, Mustelidae. The record is from RefSeq and is a predicted model, not a curated record. The transcript has 5 exons.
CCGGCGCACACCCGCGCACCCCGCGCACCUCGCGGCUGCAGGAGGGCCCAGCGCCGCCGCCUGCCCACUCCCAGGGCCCGGCCCGCCCCGGCGCCCGUGCUCUCGGGGCGCACUCCCGGACCUCGGCGCUCUCCCGCCUGGCGAUGGCCCUGCUCGGAUACUUCUUAUUCCUCUACGGCCUGGAGCAGGCGCUGGGCAGCUACCCGAUCUGGUGGUCGCUGGCCGUAGGGCCGCAGUACUCGUCCCUGGGCACUCAGCCCAUCCUGUGUGCCAGCAUCCCUGGCCUGGUCCCCAAGCAGCUGCGCUUCUGCCGGAACUACGUGGAGAUCAUGCCCAGUGUGGCGGAGGGCGUGAAGAUCAGCAUCCAGGAGUGCCAGCACCAGUUCCGUGGCCGCCGCUGGAACUGUACCACUGUGGACAACAGCCUGGCCAUCUUUGGCCCUGUGCUGGACAGAGCCACACGGGAGUCUGCCUUUGUGCACGCCAUCGCCUCUGCCGGCGUGGCCUUCGCUGUGACGCGCUCGUGCGCUGAGGGCACGGCGGCCAUCUGUGGCUGCAGCAGCCGGCACCAGGGCUCGCCGGGUGAGGGCUGGAAGUGGGGCGGCUGCAGCGAGGACAUCGAAUUUGGCGGCAUGGUGUCUCGGGAGUUUGCCGAUGCGCGGGAGAACCGGCCAGACGCCCGCUCCGCAAUGAACCGCCACAACAACGAGGCCGGCCGCCAGGCCAUCGCCAGCCACAUGCAUCUCAAGUGCAAGUGCCACGGGCUGUCGGGCAGCUGUGAGGUGAAGACCUGCUGGUGGUCGCAGCCCGACUUCCGUGCCAUCGGCGACUUCCUCAAGGACAAGUACGACAGCGCCUCGGAGAUGGUCGUGGAGAAGCACCGCGAGUCGCGCGGCUGGGUGGAAACCCUGCGGCCGCGCUACACCUACUUCAAAGUGCCCACGGAGCGCGAUCUGGUGUACUACGAGGCCUCGCCCAACUUCUGCGAGCCCAACCCCGAGACCGGCUCAUUCGGCACGCGCGACCGCACGUGCAACGUGAGCUCGCAUGGCAUCGACGGCUGCGACCUGCUGUGCUGCGGCCGAGGCCACAACGCGCGCACCGAACGGCGCCGCGAGAAGUGCCACUGCGUCUUCCACUGGUGCUGCUACGUGAGCUGCCAGGAGUGCGCGCGCGUCUACGACGUGCACACCUGCAAGUAGCGCGCCCUGCGCGGGGCUGCCCACACGGCAGCGGCGUGCGCAGCUGGAGUCCUGGGCGGGGGCGGGGCUCCUCCCAGGAUGGGGGCGGGGUCCCUAGCUAGGGUCCUGGACGGGGUAGAGGCUCCUCCGGGACCGGGACAGGGGUCCCCAGCUGGGGUCCUGGACAGGGGCGGGGCUCCUCCCAGGACGGGGGCGGAGGUCCUCCUGACAGGGGCGGGGCCCUCAAGUGGGGCACCCGGAUGGGGGCAGGGUUCGCCCUGAAAGCGCUAAUUUCCUUCCUCGAUGGGGCGGGGCUCCUCUCUGGGGGCGGGCCUCCGGGUGGGGUUCCUGGAUGGGGGUGGGCUCCUCCCUAGUAGGGCAGGGGUGGCGGGGGGAGUAUGGGGGUCGUGUCCUUAGACUGGUUCUGGUUUCUUCCUUGAAUGGGGCGGGGCUUCUCCCUGGGGGCGGAGUUCCAGGACUGGGACUCCUGGAAGGGAGGAGGGUACCCUGUGGUAGGGCCCUGGGGUUCUACACGGGUGCAGGACUUCUUGGUGGGGGGUAGGGUUCCGUGGGUGGGCUUCCGCGUGGGGAGGGGUCAUCUCUGGGGACGGGCUCCCAGCGGCCGUGCUCCUCCCCACCAGCACACCUGUGAGAUUUCAAGCCACUUGGCCUGCGCGGAGCGGAGACCCUGCAGGCUGGCCUGUCUCCUCCCAGCCCUUCCUCUAGGCCCUGUGAUCCAGCCUCCAAGUCGGGUGCUCCGGGACAGUUAAGGGGUCUGGAGGCCUUGUGGCACUCCUCCGUCAGCUGUGCGUCUGCCGUAGCCCCAACCAGGAGCCCCGACCAGAGAGCCAUCACCCGGCCGGGAACCUGGACGGGAUUGAACCAGUCUUGCCUGGGGAAAACACGUGGGGCCCAGCCGCAGAGGGGCCUGGACCCAGAGGCCUGGCCCUGCCCCUGCUGCUGUGCGCCCUGGCCUCGGACCCCUGGGCCCUCUUCCUGUGGCGCAGCACCACCCCAGGCCCCCCCCCCCCUUGGCUUGACCAGCCCAGAUCUCUACUUUGCCACUGAUGGAAAGUCUCACCGCCUGGCCUGCCCUCCCCCCUGGCUCCUAGGCUCACUUCGAUUUGGGUUGGGUUGUUGGGGAGGGUUGGGAGGGUGAGUCCACACCCAUGCUGCGGGGGAAGGCCCCUUGGUCCCCAGAGGGGGGUCUCCCUCCCACCGCCCCCCAUGUCCAGGACUGACCCCCCCCACCCCCAGGCCUGCUGCUGUGGCUGUGGUGUCCAGGAGUCUGUGGCUGGUGGCUCCUCUCCUUCUGACUCAUCCACCCUGCCUGGGAACAGGAGGCGGAGGGACCUCCCCCCCCGGUGGCUGCCAGGCAGAGACCUCUCCUUGCCCAGCCUCUGCCACUGUGAAAUGUUUCUCAGCCCUGGCCGGAGGACACUCGCCCAGGCAGGGGGAGCAAACGGUGCGGCACCAUGACCUGCACGCCUCUGGGGACACCACCUCCCUCGGCCUGGAAUUCUGCAUUUGUGGUUUUAAUGUUAUUUCCAAUGCUGCUACAGCCACCAUACACUGGAGCAAGACAAACAGCUGUGUUGUUGUUGUUUUCCUUUUCUUUCUAUGAAAGAAAUCAUUGCAGUCAUAGCUUGUGAGUUGCAAACAAUUGGGGGGGAAGUAAAAAACAAA